AGUCCUGUAACUGUAAGCGUGGCACUGGUGUGGGGUUGCCCCGAGUAGCGUGGGACUCGUGGAAUUUCGCGUGAAUCUGGCGGGACCACCCGUCAAGCCUAAAUACUCCUUGGUGACCGAUAGUGGAUGAGUACCGUGAGGGAAGGGUGAAAAGUACCCCGGGAGGGGAGUGAAAGAGUUCCUGAAACCGGUCGCAUGCAAGCCGUCAGAGCCUGUGUGGUGAUGGCGUGCCUUUUGAAGAAUGAGCCUGCGAGUUAGUGAUGCGUGGCGAGGUUAACCCGUGGUGGGGGAGUCGUAGCGAAAGCGAG
RNAcentral lists this ribosomal RNA (308 nucleotides) under Extubocellulus spinifer. RNAcentral describes it as "partial Bacterial large subunit ribosomal RNA". It matches the Rfam family "Bacterial large subunit ribosomal RNA", at positions 369 to 681 of the family's 2925-position model. Lineage: Eukaryota; Bacillariophyta; Thalassiosirophyceae; Cymatosirales; Cymatosiraceae. The record is from RNAcentral.